Aquila chrysaetos chrysaetos is the source of this 1058-nucleotide long non-coding RNA. RefSeq lists it as uncharacterized. The transcript has 3 exons. Lineage: Eukaryota; Metazoa; Chordata; Aves; Accipitriformes; Accipitridae. The record is from RefSeq and is a predicted model, not a curated record.
UAUUAAAUAUAAUUAAGUAUAAUACCACCUCUCCCUGCCUUAUAUUUCUCCUGGAAAUGGCAUAUAGAGGACUGCACAUUGCAUUUCCCAUAAGCUCUUACUGCUAUGUCCCCAGUUCUUUACACGUGGAUGUACGUGUUGUGGUCCUCUCCAAAGGACCUCUUUCAGCGACUGCUUAUCUUUGUCACGGACGAAAUAGAUCCUGAUCUUUGUUAGUGAAAAACCUUUGCAGCCAGGUUGCCAGUUUCCGGCCUGCUUUGUCCACAAGGCUGGUGUGAUCCUCGGAUGUGGAGAAGCAGGAAUGUGCUGAAAAUGGAAGUUCACUAUGGUGAAAUGCUGGCCAUGAACUUGCAGAAUUUCUGCCAAGCCUCAUGUCCAGGGAAGCUGUACCUUGGCAGUGGCAAUUUUUGUUUUGUUAUUUUUUCUGAUGGUCAGCUCUGGGCUACUUGUCACCCAGGUUCCACUCUAGUGGAAAAAAAAUCUUUUAAAACAAUAAAUAAUAGUUAUGGAUCCACUGCUGUGCAUAUCCCAGCCUUUCUCUUUACACAGUUUUAAAUAUCUGUAUUUAUGCUUUUUAAAAACAUGUUGGCUUCAAAACUUGCAAGUAUUUCAUCUUUCAGGUAUCAGAGUUUUCUGCCUAACUGUGUGGGAGAUAACUGAGAAGGGUUUCAGUUUCCCAGAGAUUUUUUACUGUUAGAUCUAUGCUACCUAUAAAUCUGCAAACAUUUCCUCUAACCAAACCCCCUAUUUCUGUUCUAACUGGAAUGUAUUUUUUUUCUGAGCCAUGACCCUGCUACUAACUUGAUGAUCCAGGAUAUCUCAGAAAUACUUUUCAUGUCAUAUGGUUUAGAAAUUUCCCAUGGCUUCAAAGCAUAAAUUCACAGAUUGUCCCAGUGACAAAGAGGAGAAAAGCAUUAUACCAGUCUGUAUUAACAGAGAUGCAAUAUGACUAUUAUCCAGAAUGCAGAUAUUCCACUCAAGAAGUUUUAUGUAUUUUGGAUAAACACAGUUAUGGAUGUUAUCAGGCUUCUAGGGCAGUGCAUCCUGUGCAUAUACCU